Molecule: ribosomal RNA, 292 nt
Filed under: uncultured bacterium
Lineage: Bacteria
Description: partial 16S ribosomal RNA
Rfam family: Bacterial small subunit ribosomal RNA
Source: RNAcentral
GGAUUAGAUACCCUGGUAGUCCACGCCGUAAACGAUGUCUACUUGCAGCUCGGUUCGUAAGAACGGUUUUGCGAAGCUAACGCGUUAAGUAGACCGCCUGGGGAGUACGGUCGCAAGAUUAAAACUCAAAUGAAUUGACGGGGGCCCGCACAAGCGGUGGAGCAUGUGGUUUAAUUCGAUGCAACGCGAAGAACCUUACCAUCCCUUGACAUCCUGAGAAGUUAGCAGAGAUGCUUUCGUGCCUUCGGGAACUCUGAGACAGGUGCUGCAUGGCUGUCGUCAGCUCGUGUCG